GUCUACGGCCAUACCACCCUGAACACACCCAAUCUAGUCUGAUCUCAAAAACUAAGCAGGGUUGGGCCUGGUUAGUACUUGGAUGGAGGAGUCCUUCAGUAGGGUAAAUA
This 110-nucleotide ribosomal RNA is filed under the name Chinchilla lanigera (long-tailed chinchilla). Lineage: Eukaryota; Metazoa; Chordata; Mammalia; Rodentia; Chinchillidae. The record is from RNAcentral.